Molecule: long non-coding RNA, 2609 nt
Filed under: Homo sapiens (human)
Lineage: Eukaryota; Metazoa; Chordata; Mammalia; Primates; Hominidae
Description: HSALNT0144109
Source: RNAcentral
GUAUAAAUUAACCAAUUUAUGCCUUCCUCUCCAUCUUGCCUAUGAGAAGAUAUAAAAUCAAAGUACAUCAAUCCGGAAAUACAAUGUUGACAUUUACCAGCAUCAAAAUUGGUUCUCUCACAUUUUAAAGAAAAUUUCAAAUGAGUCUAUGGAGCUUUAAAACAUUUAUUAUUUUAACCAAUAUUGAAGUGACAUUUUGCACAUAAUGAACACUAAGGAAUCUCAUCUGAUUCAGAAGAGGACCGGGGCUACCUGAAGGUCUUCCCUGAAGAUGUGCUAAGGAACUUAGGAUUUGGAAAUGGAAAUGAAUUUAAGGUUGACUUAAUCUAACAUUCUGAUUUGACUCUGGAGGCAGAAUAACAUAGGGAGGUCCACCGUCAAAGCAGCUGGUUUUUAUACCCAGUAUCUAUUGCUUAAUCACCAUGCAUCAAUGGUGAUCAAACAGUGGUGAUCACAGGCUUGUUCUAAUUAUCUAUUGCUGUCUAUCUUGGUUUGCCUAAGACUGUUCCAGUUUUACCACUCAAAGUCCUGCAUCCCACAAAAGCCUUCAACUCUAAGCAAAAGGAAAGAUUGGCCAUCCACUAACAAAUCACUCCAAAACGUAGUGGCUAAAAAUACCGAUAUAUUAUUAUCUGUCAUAUUCUGUGGAUUGUCUGGAAUACGAUGGAUGGCUCUUGCUUCUAGUCUUUUGUUUUGCUGUGACAAGUGGUAGCUUCAGCUUAUCUGUAAAAUAAUGCCAAGUACCUAUGUCAUAGGUUGUUGCGAAGCUUCAUGAGUUAAAAGGUGUAAAGAAUUUAGCACACUGGCUAAUACACAAAAAUUAUAAAACAAGUUGAUCUGUUGAUAAAAGUAGAAUGAAGGAAAAGGGAGAGGGAAAUGAUAGCUGUAGUGAGGGGAGAGUAAAUCCGUGUUUCAGUGUUACUCUGGCAGCCAACAUUUAAUAGAUGCUUUACAUGCACAGUCUCAGCUAAUCUCUCAUCUACAUACACAGAACAGGCAUUACCAUUAUCUCCAUUUCAAACAUGAGGAAACUGCCAUUUUAAAAGUACAAUACCUCCCAAGGUCUCAUAGUAGUGGAGCUAAAAUUUAAACACGGACUUGUGUGUACAAAACCUAUGCUCCUUCCACCUCUGUGUCUGCUCUGCAGGAAACUGCAAAGCAAGCUCUUAAAAUUUUUUUCCUAAAAAUGUCACGUCACCAAGAAGAAUUAGCAAGGAUAGGGAUUAUUCUGCUGUAUUAAACAUUCAAAAUAUGGACCAAAAUAUGUGAAAAACAGUUUUCAAGAUGUCUAGUAGAAGAAAAGAGACCCAUGAAAGGAGGAGGAGAUGAAGUUAGCACUAUCAUGUCCUCAGUUUUCUACCUUGAGAGAAUUUCCAGCUCACAAAAAGACAGGGAGAACCCAGAGCCAUGAGAACUGGCUGGGUUGAGGAGGCAGAGCCGAAAGUCAGGAAAGAUAGCUUGAACCUUCAGGAGAGAGUACCACGGAGGAAAACGGCUGAACAGGAAGAAAACUCUAAAUGUUUGCAAAGGAUUCACCCCAAGCAUUCAGGUAGUUACCAGUCAGUGUACACAUACGAGAAAAUGACUGGAGGUCAAGGAGAGAACUACCUGAAAGGAUUAAUGGUAACAGUGCCUAUUGCCUACACAAGGACUGAAAUAGUGCAUAGAACCACCAACCAGGUUGGAAAAUCUUAUGAUUCAUGGGCAUUGGAUAGAGUAUACAGAAGGCUCUUGACUCAUUAGUGGGGACUAAUAAGCACUAGACAAACUGCUGCUCCAGUCUUGUCUGAACACGUCCGAAAUGCAAGAAACUGUUUUCUUGCAGGAAAAUAAUUAAACUGUUUUCAAUGACUGUAAUGCAUUUCAGAACAAAGCUCAAGAAUAUUGACAGAAAUACAAAAAUAUGCAAUGUCCAACCAGAUAAAAUUCAGAAUGUCUAAGUUUUAAUGCAAUAUUACAACCAUGCGAAAGGCAGGAAAACAUCACCCAUACCCAUAAUGAAAAGAAAACUUCCAUCUAAAUUAACCAGAACUGGCACAGAUGUGAUAAUUAGCACACAGGGAUAUCAAAACAGUUUUUACAACUAUAUUCCACGUAUUUGGAGAUAAGAAUAUUCCCUAGAGAUAAGGAAAACAAAACCGUGUUCUCCCUAAACCCCUUACCUUCAGCUGAAGAACCACACUCACUCUACUGAUUCAUUCUGGUCUCUCAGUAACUGGUCUUUCAGAUUUCCUCAACCAGUUUUGAGCUCUGCACUACAGCAUUGAAUCCGAUUCCAGCCAGGGGCUGUAUAGUCUCUUAGAGCUUGGCUGAGACUAUAUGCAAUGCAAUAAUAAAAGCCAGGAACUCUGCAAAUUAUGGUGCCAAUUAUAGAGGACUGAACAGAAUUUAAAAAUCUAAGUAUGUGCCAAAGUUAAGGAUAAAAAACUGUCCACAUGAAAGUGACAGUUCAAAUGUAAGAGGAACUAUCUCAAGAGAUUCCGUGGAGUGACCAGCACCCAGCUGCAGUGACUGUAUGGAAGCUUUUUAGGGCACACGCUGCUGUAUGCCCAGAAGCUUCAGAAAAUUGACUAGAAGUUGAUGACUGAAGGCCCUAGGAUUUUAGUCUU